UUCCUAUGCAUAUACUUCUU
This 20-nucleotide non-coding RNA is filed under the name Sarcophilus harrisii (Tasmanian devil). Its record names the gene sha-miR-202. Lineage: Eukaryota; Metazoa; Chordata; Mammalia; Dasyuromorphia; Dasyuridae. RNAcentral also lists the same sequence under 2 other names. The record is from miRBase by way of RNAcentral.